This is a long non-coding RNA of Rattus norvegicus (Norway rat), 3975 nucleotides long. RefSeq lists it as uncharacterized. The record is from RefSeq and is a predicted model, not a curated record. Lineage: Eukaryota; Metazoa; Chordata; Mammalia; Rodentia; Muridae.
CUCUGGCGUCUCCCCUCCCGCGGCCAGAGGAAGCGCCCCCUCCCUGCCCUCCUAGCCCUCCCACAUUCCUGGGACUCGGGACCCGGGACGCUGCUCCACUGUUCCAGAGCUACGAGCUAGUAUAGAUGGAUCAGUAGGGACUCUUCAGCCUGGGACUCCCUCCCUGGCUCCGGCUUGAGGCUACCUCUUGCCCAGACGCUGGGCCAGGAAGUCAGAGAGCCGGCACAGAAGCUGGUCUAGUGAUUAGAGCCCCAGCUGUGGCAUAUGGCAAGCCCAGCUGUGCUAUAUACUAACUGUGUGAUCCUGGUUGUGUGACUUGGAGAGAGAUGCUUCGCCUCUCUGGACCACCCUUUGCUCUUGUGUAACGGGAAGAUACUACUGAUACCUGUCUACCGAGACUUGCCUGGAGAUUAGAGAUCAGGAUAAAGUCCCAAAGAGGGUGGGACACAGAGUGAGCCCAUCUGGCAGCUGUCAUCACAAGUCCUGAUCUGAAAGGAGUUGCAGAUUACCACGAAUAUUGCUACUGUGCUCAGGCUCACAAGAGGAAACCAAAGAGCUCUAUCGACUGCACCAAGAAGUAAUGAGAGACAGUACCAAACCAAGGCAAGCUAGGGAGGGCAAGAUAGGGAGGGCUCCGACCAGGGGAAGAGGUGUCACCUGAGCUGGGCUUUGAAGUGUGGUUGGGUUUCACCGGGCAGAGAGAGGGAAGCAGUGUGGUAGGAAGUGGGAGCAACUUGGCAAAAAAAAAAACAGAAGGCAGAUUCUUCAACCUUGACCUUCUGAGAAACAGGAAUAGGAAGCUGAGCAUUCUGUUUGGGAAGACUUGCGUAGCCAAGAUAGUGAAAUGAGUCUAGACCACUAGGUGUCCAACCUGCCUCCAGGCGUCCCUUGGAUCUCAGAGUCCCAGCUUACACAGAGACAGGAGUAAAGGAGAAAAUAGUCACCACUGUCCUUUUGUAUUUUGCAUUUGAUUAAAAACUUGCUGAUUAUCACAGCCCACGAGGAAUUCUGUUCCUCCCUGUCUCACCCUUCUUGAAGCAGAAACGAAUGUCUUUUAAAAGCACUGACACCACCCAGGCACACAGCUUUAGUCACAGCAUUCAGGAGACAGAAGCAGGUGGAUCUAAAUUCAAGUCCAGCCUGGUCUACAUAGUGAUUUCCAGGACAACUCUCAACAUAAUAAAGAGACUCCAUCUCAAAACAAAAGCACCUGGUCCAUGGUGCCCAGAGGGAAGGAAUUAUAAUGCUACUAGGUCUGUAUCUGUCCCUGACACUCACAGACCCUAUACACCCAUCCCAGUUGCCACAGAUUCAUAUCUGCCAACAGAUGCAUGCACUUGGAUUUCCUCCUGGGUAAAAUGUAUGCCUCCAUUUAAGACGUAGUGACUUCUUAAGAACUAACAGCCUCUUCAGAGAAGGGGUUAAUGUGUGCAUAGUAUGAGAAAUGAACCUGAACAGUGCUAGUUGAAAAGUCCUUGCGGGCAGGACCUCAUCUCUUCUGUCUACUCUGUGGCAUCUUGUUCAGCACUCUGUCCACAGUAGGAGCUGGAACUCUUAGCAAAAUGUGUGGUUACCUGAUGGGAACAUGGAUUCUUUGCAAAGACAGACUAGGAAAGAGUCAUUCCCUAGGCAAGGGGACUUCACAUGGCUGGUCUCUUACGCAGUUAGAAUGUGCCAGCUUGUGUGUGUAGUAUACUUGCCUUUGGCGAAGCGUAGCUGCCAAUGCUUAACUCUGUUUAACCAUAGUUUUGAAUUUGUGGGGUUGUUUUGUUUUGUAGAAAGGACUCAUGUAGCCCAGGCUGACCUAUAACUCCAUAUAUACCUGAAGAAUGACCUCAAACUUCUGAUCCUCCUCUUGUAACUUUGAGUGCUAGGAUUAUAGACAUGCAUCACCGCACCCUGCUUACGUGGUGCUGUGGAUUGAGCCCACCACUUCAUGCAUGCUAAGCAAGCACCCGACCAUCUGAGCUACAUCCCCUCUGUCUACUUGUUUGCUGUCCUCACAGAGUCCAAGUAAGCUGCUCAAAGACAGGGCCUGCAUCUGGUUCAUCAUUGCAUUCACAGCAAAUAGCAUUCAUUCCAUUUAUACUUAAUUAAGUGCAAGCCUUUGAAUAGCAAGAUAAAGCACUAAUUAUAUACAUAUACAACACACAUACACUCACACGCAAACACACACACACACUUUCAUACCAUAUUCUGUUUGCAAAACAGCUUUUCAGAAAUAAAUCUGCAAAGUUCAAUAUGCAUUUGCCUUGAGAAUAUACAGUAUAAUGAAUGAUAUUUGACCUUUUUCCUAUCACUUCCCCUUCACAUAAAGGCUAAGUUUUAUUAAAUAUAGAAGCAGGCACAUAAAAAUACAAAAACAAGAAGGGUACAUUCCCAAGUCGCCUGGUAGAAAAUACUGGGCAGAUUGGGAUUGGGGGGCAACUGGGUCUUUCUUUAAAACUCCCUCUAAAGGGUGAUGCUGGACUCCAUAUUUUAAACCAGCUCUUUAAGCACUCCUUGCUAUCAACCAUACUUACAAAAUUCUGUUAAGUUACCUGUAUCGUGUCUCUAAUAAUAAUUGUAUAUAAAGAGAUACAUGGAUGGAUAAUAGAUAAGUAGUUGAUAGAGAAUCAGUUAUUUAUGCAAGGUCACGCAGCUGUGUAUGAUAAAACCAGGAACUGAAACCAUUUCUCUCUUGGCACUCUGCCAUAAUACCUCAGCUCUUGAUGUUUGUGGAUAAAAGGUGACGUCAAGUGCUCUUGUGUGCUGUCUGUAACUGUUGCUUUUAUUAUUACAUUCUUAAGCCUGUUUCCCACCAAUUUCAGAAAGUUAAGAGACGGAAUUUGUGACUUCCACUUCAACACACACACACACACACACACACACACACACACACAAGAACCUAGAAGAGGAAGACAGGUCCUUAAUGGCAUCCUACAUCCCAGCAGGAGGCAGGCUUGCUGGGCACCAGCCUCAAACCAGGUCACCAGCCCCACAGGGAGUCCUUUCAGCCUGGCAACCCUCUGUGUACUUUAAAAGCCACCAUGAGCAAACCAUUCUCCAAGGUCCUCCUAAGCGGAAUGGAAUGUUUCUUGAGAGUCUGAUUAGCUAAUGCUGCAGGCAUGGCUGCCCUGAGACCUUCCUGCCUCGAUAACUUGAAUGGAAUCAGAAUUGAAAGGAAGACUUUUAGAAAAAUCUUUAUUAAAAAGGAGAAGAAGAAGAAGUAGCACUUUAUCUUCAUAAUGGUAACAGGAUGUUUCCUGUGGACUAAUAACUGGGCUCUGCUUAGAAUGCCAUGUUUGUCCGUCAGACCUUAAUUCUCCCUCAGUGAAGCCUGAAUCACCUGCCCCACACUCACAGCCUGGGAGUGCCUUGCUUGGUGACCUUUUCUGUUUCUUACUUCAAGCACUUGCAUCGUUAAGUAUUUUCCUAAUUCUUUAUUCCUCUCCACCCCUGUGUGUGUGUGUGUGUGUGUGUGUGUGUGUGUGUGUGUGUGUGUUAUAGAAAGCAAUGCUUUACUUCCAAACAGACAGUUGUGUGUAACACAUUUUUCAGUGUAGUCAACUGGGAAUGUAGGAGAGACAGCUGUUGCCUUCAAGGGUCCCCAGCAUUCUGUGACAUGAUAAACCCACUUGCUUCUGUGCCCCCAGCCCUCCUCCAAAGCUAGAAGAACCAAUCUUCAUACCCUGGCAAGACAGACCCAAGAUUCAUGGUCUUAGAAUACCUAGAAAGAGGAAGUAACAAGGAAACUCAACGCCUAAAAGACAAAGAGCUUUUGUCCAAGGCUUGUGUGGUGGCUUGAGUAAGAACAGCCCCCUGGGCUCAUAGAGUUGAACACUCUGUCACCAGGAAGUAGCACUAUUUGAAAAGUCACUCUCGGGGCUGGGGAUUUAGCUCAGUGGUAGAGCGCUUGCCUAGGAAGCGCAAGGCCCUGGGUUCGGUCCCCAGCUCCGGGAAAAAAAAAAAAAAAAAAAAAAAAAAAAAAGAAAA